Molecule: long non-coding RNA, 1275 nt
Organism: Branchiostoma belcheri (Belcher's lancelet)
Lineage: Eukaryota; Metazoa; Chordata; Leptocardii; Amphioxiformes; Branchiostomatidae
Exons: 4
Source: RefSeq, a predicted model, not a curated record
CCAUACGAAGACGAUCCACGCUUCAACCGCGAUAUAUCGUACUGCCGUCGAGAAAGGCGUCCUCCCCCAGAGGAGUUCUAUCGAGGGGAAGGGUACGAGGCUGACCCAUAUGGCGGAGGACGACCCCUUCCUCCGGAAUUCCGCGGACGUGGGCGCGGUCGUGGUUUUGAGGAUUUUCCUAUGCGGGAGCCUGGACCCAGCCAUGGACCCACGGCAGACAGAAGUCAGCUGGCAGACCUUAUAGGCAGGGCUAAAGACCUGGUCAGUAGUGAGGACGAUGCUGCUAUGGCCCUUCAACUGUCCAACGCCUUGACCAAGGCCCUGCUCUCCUACAGACUGAAGAAUGUCCCACCAGAGCUUCUGAAACAUGCCAUGGGGGAACUGGGACCCAACUUCUAGAGGAUGAAGAACCACAUCUUCUUUCAAAACUACUUUAAUAACCUAGUUCCUGUUUCUGUUUCACAUUCUGAUGGAUUGUCAGAAAUACACACAAAUGUACAACCAUAUACACUUGUUGCUUUUGUUUACAAACUUGGAUGCCUACAUGGAUAUUAUAGGUUAAAUGGGAAAACAUGUUUAACCUUCAAACUGCCAAGGUAGCCACUUGGCACCAAAUAUGUAUUGGUGACUGCUUAGGCAGAGGAAGAGAGUUAAAUGUUGAGGUUUUCCUUAACGUUCAGUUAAUGAAGCUGGUUUUACAUUGUGUUACCGUGACCAAAGUGACUCCGAAGAAGGAUUUGAAAUAUGAUUUCCAAGACAAUAGAAAUAUUGGAAAAUAAUAGGUGAACACAGAAUGCUACAGAAUUAAUUGUACCAACACGGAUGAAGUUUCCAGCUAUUACCCAAGUGAUUAUAAACAUUUCUUCACAGUUUUGAUUUUUAUGCACUUAUGGAGUGUACACAGGUGCUCCAAUAGUUUGUUCAAUGAUGGGGUAUAGUAGAUACAUGUUGUAUAUCUCAACCCCUACUAAGUACAGUGUACCUUGUGGCAUGGUCUUGCUAAUAAACAAAAGGGUAGGGAACAAGAGGAAUCCUACAUGGAAAAGACCAUAAUGUCUAUUUAUGCAUUGUUUGUUGCAACUUGUUUGUAAACAAUACAUAUUGUUUCCUGAAAACAUAUCACACCUAAAGAUUGGCACAGCAAUGUUUUUACCCAACACCAUAGUACACAAUAACUUUUAUUAUAUUUUACUGUGUAUCAAGAAUUGAUAUAUAUAUGGACCAUAACAAAUAUGUUAUGUGAACAUUCUACAAUAAAAGUCAUCUAAAAUGAAA